This is a non-coding RNA of Peromyscus maniculatus bairdii (prairie deer mouse), 638 nucleotides long. NCBI's taxonomy places the organism in Eukaryota, Metazoa, Chordata, Mammalia, Rodentia, Cricetidae. The record is from RefSeq and is a predicted model, not a curated record.
CUGAACAGUAAUGUGACUAUUAGUCACUUGAAGCCUGGGGUCUUGAGAGAAAAGGGAAGGGUGGCAUCCAAGCAGAGGUGGCAAGAAUCCCACAGACUCUUUGUAGGUGUGAAUUCUUCAAGUGACCCUCCUGGGCUUUUGACAAAAACAAACAAAAAAAACCUUGUAUGAACUCCUGUACCUCAGGCUCAGGGAACAGUGUGGACGAGACGGGUGGGAAGACUGUGAGAGCCAGAGGGAGGUUGCUGUGAGACUGUGUCUCCUUGGAGAAGAUGCAUCCAGGAAGUCUCACCAACAUGACUGCCUAAACCUGAGUGAGCAAGGAGGACACCAAUAGACACGCCAAAGUGGACGGGGAAAGACCCUGGGGCCUCAACCCGACACAACGGACUACAGGCAACUAUAGAAUGCUGAGAGCGGGAGAAACAGGCUUCCCCAGGGAAGAGCAGGCCAAUCGGUUAUCUGGGCCCAUUUGGAGUAUACUGUGAUGCGUGGUGUGGAAAAGAUGGAGCCAAGCUGAUUGUGAGUCGCUGCGGAUGUCCCACCGUUUGCUGAAGAACGACUCUUUCUUGCACUGUUGUGUCCAGGCUUGUUCAUAUUAAGCCAAGUCCUUAAAUAACAAAUCUGUUUUAACGGAG